This is a long non-coding RNA of Aegilops tauschii subsp. strangulata, 2586 nucleotides long. RefSeq lists it as uncharacterized. Lineage: Eukaryota; Viridiplantae; Streptophyta; Magnoliopsida; Poales; Poaceae. The record is from RefSeq and is a predicted model, not a curated record.
CUAGAAUAUUGUUUUGUCCUGGGCACUCACAUGAUUAAGGAAGAAAUUGGUUAUUCCUGGAUGUGCUAUGCAGAUCAAAGAUUUUGCAGGUUAUUUAGCCAUUCCCGUGCUUCCAAAGGAACUCAUGACCCCUCUUAUAACUCUGCCCCGCAAUAUUUAGGUGUUACAAAAAUAGUUUGACCAUUUUGCCUCAUAAUGAGAGUUCUUUUACUAUUUUGGAGAUUGGUGCAUUCUUUCUGCAGUUUAACACCUGCAUUGCAAAUAAUCUUGCCAGAGAACUAUGUUGGGCACACAACUGCGUCUCCAACCCAUCCGAUGGAGAGGCACAAAUUCAUGGAUUGGCCAAUGAGAUAUGUAGAUUGAGACAAUAUGACGCUUCAGAUAAAUGAUGUGCAUAAUUUGGACCAAUGGCAUGAAAACAGAAAUCCAGCCUCCUUUUUUUGUGCGGAAAUGGGCCCCUACGGUAAAUGAAGCUACACUAGAUCCACUAUACUUCAGCUAUUUUGCCAAUUCUUGAGGCUUCAUUGGUAGUGUAGAUUCAAGGAAAAUUUAUAAAAUUUAUGCAUUCUUCCUUCACUUUUUUGUAUUUACAUGUUUUGUGCUGUUGAGCUAACUCAGUUGCAGAUAACAAGUGUGCUCUGUAUUCAGUUUAGCUAACAUUUUUUUUGCUACUGUUAAAACAUAUACUGCUUUUUAAAGGAAACAUAACUAUUGUUUUAUUUUAUUAACCCUAUAUAUAUGACAAAUUCCUUCUAAUUUGUUGUUCUUAACCGCUGAAGGAGCCUUUCAGUGGUACGUGCACACGGUUUUCAUAUGUAUAACUGUAAUGAACAUACAACACUGAGAAACUUUUAUUUGUGAGUUGCAUGACCACGGUGUUAGAAUCCUUACCAUUUAUAACUUUUGUAUACAUGAACAUAUAAACACUCACUACAAUAAUUUCCCUGUUCGUGAGGUGUAAUUUUUAAGACUAGCGGCCGUGGGGAAAUCCUUAUCAAUGUUCUUUUAUGUCUUAUCUGGUUAGCAUAGUGUUAGUUGAGAAAUGAUAAGAGCAAUACUUUCUGUUGAAUUGCUGGGAUAAAUAUGCUUUUUUUUAAUUAACAGCUUGAGAAGUUCAUAAUGCUAAUUCAACUGAGGUUGAUUGGGAACAUCCCUUCUAUUUGAAUUUAACACGUCUUAUACUGUCACAGUGGCAUUGUGCAAGUAUGAUUUUGUGGCACUACCACUGAGAUCUUACAAGCUUUGUAUGCUCUGAACAAUUGGCUAUAACUGCAUAAGAAUAACUAGAAACCUUUUUUGGUGAUCUAUUGAGGCGUCAUGGCUGGUGUGUGAGACACUAGAGUAGAGACAUAUCCAGGAGGCGCCACCGUAUGGAAGAGUCGUAAUAACAGUGGCGCAGAGCGCGUGUUUGUUCAGCAUGGAUGUGGCCAUGUGUUCAUUUGUAGCCUGAUAGCUUUAUAAGAAAAUUUACAUCACUUAUUCGGUUUUAGGUUUUCACUCAGACAUACAUUGGUUAGUGAUGUUAAUCCAUACAUAGUCCUAUAUGUGGCUUGAUGUUACCGUAUCUUUCAUUCAAGAUCUUGUGAACCCAGAGCGAUGAAAAUCCACCGUACGACCCAGAGAUGAGGACCUCACUUGAUGAUGAACAGACCUUCGACAGCGAAGGAUACUGCUCUGAUGAUUUCCGUUUCCUACCUGAAGAUCACUUCUAACAGCCAUGCAAGAACCAUCAGAUCGCUGCUAUCAUCAUUAGAGCCAGUCGUUGCUCCCUACUAAUAUAGUUAUCUAUAGCCAUAUGUAACAUAUAUCCUAUCGCACGAUGGCACAGUCGGUUCUUCCGAAUCUAUCUGCUAAGCCUUAAUGAUCUGUAUGUACAUGUGAACCUAAUGAUGUACUAUGUCCUAUCGAACCAUGUCACUCUCGGUUAUGCCAGAUCUACUGCUGGAACUUCGUGCUUUGUUUAUUUGUUUGCUACGCUCUGCUGUGUUUAAAUCAUAUGUCUGAUUGCAUUCUUAUGCUUCCAAGUUUAUCUCAGCAUUAUGCCAUGUUUUUAUAGUUUUAGUUACGUAAGUAUGUGUGCUCACGGAAUAAUUUUAACCUAUGGUUUAUUUCCAUGCCACUCAAAUUUUAUUUAGCCCUGGCCUGCAAGCACCGUCGUCUUGAUGGAUGAUGAUGAUUUAAUAGUCAAGGGGCUUCCACAGCUCUCUGCCAUUUGUGUUACCAUUAGCAGAAGGUACAUGGUUGAAGAAGCUAUUAAGCGGAUCCAUGGUACAAUUCAUGCAUUCGAGCUCACCGAUGAUAAUGACGACACAGUAAUGGCAUCAGUGAAAAUUGAUCUCCAGCCCCACAGCCAAAGCAUGUUGCCAACCCAACAGCUGUUCUUUGGAGAAUCAACUCGGUUUGCCAACGAUGCUAUCAAAUCAACAUGUUCUGCUGCUUUGGCCUAUCUGGUAACCAUGGGCAUCAUCACAAUAGACAAUUCCAACUCGACAAGCCUCAAGAAAUGCCAAAGGGAGCUCAAAGCUGAGCAGUUCUGGUCAUCAGUGCUAUUUGAGCGGGCAGAAUCCUUUCAAAAACAGCUCGCCU